RNAcentral lists this microRNA precursor (59 nucleotides) under Ptychodera flava. RNAcentral describes it as "Pfl-Mir-2006_pre stem-loop". The record is from RNAcentral. Lineage: Eukaryota; Metazoa; Hemichordata; Enteropneusta; Ptychoderidae.
CAUCGCUAUAAAGUGUUCUUAUUAUGUAAUAAUUCAUAAGCACACUACAUAGCGGUGCU